Molecule: long non-coding RNA, 520 nt
Organism: Alosa alosa (allis shad)
Lineage: Eukaryota; Metazoa; Chordata; Actinopteri; Clupeiformes; Clupeidae
Exons: 5
Source: RefSeq, a predicted model, not a curated record
CAUAAAUUGUGUGACUAGGUCCACCACAGAACAGGCUUUGGUGGUUGAGUGGUUCACCGCAGAGGAUUUCUAUUAGGGCAGGGCAGUGCAGAAUGUCAGCAAUGCAUUGGGAGGCACGGCGGCGGCAGUUUGUUCUGGCUCACAGGUUGUGCACCCAUACGAAGAAGACCAAGGAAAACCAAAAUCCUGAACAGAAGACAGCAAAGGAAAGCCGACCUGAACAGCCUGUUGUACCAGAUCAGUCAAAUCCUCUUGCCAUGCCAGGUGAUGAGGAAACCAGUCACAGGAUUACAGACUUCAGCGAGAAUAAUUCUACCACCACAAAUGCUAAAAGAAAAGGCUACAGUGCCAAGAUUGAGAAUAGAUACACUUCCAUACAGUAUGCCCAGCAGUGGUGACAUCCGAGUAGUUCAACUUUCACUCUACUCUGAGAGCAACAUUCCAUCCUUUCAAGCCCUCCAACUUGUCCAUCAAAUGGCAUCAGCAGGCAACAAUUAAGACAAAUAAAAUCAAAACCUUC